CACCUCUUUUCUGCAACGUUUUUAGCCUUUUCACCUCUUAUCAGCACAAUUCUCUGCCUCUUCUGCUCAUUUCAGCACAAUUGUCAGUCUCUCCACUCCUUCUUUGUGAGAAUGAGUUUGGCUCAGCGAGCUAAAUAAGCUAAAUAGCUGCCAUUAGCUCAGGAGGGCCAGGUUCGAAUCCUGCUCAGGGCAACUUUUUUUUGUUUGUUUUUUUCUUCAUUCAACUUUUUCAGCUUUUUUCAGCCGACAUCUUCAGCAUUAAGGCAUCCACACAGCAUUUUCGUAGGAAUUGCAAAUUUUUCUAGUUCUAGUUAUUUUCCUUUUUCCGCCUGAAAUUUUGCAGCGUAACUCAUCCCACAGUUUUGACACAAGCUUCAGAUAUGUUAUAUCAUUUUGUGCGGCUGCAUCAGGAAUGGUGUGCUAUGACUUUUGGUGUUUAUUACUUCUAUAGUUUUUUAAAAUGAAUAUUUUAAUGCAAGUUUUUGCCCAUUGAAAUGAAUGGGAAGGAAAGUGAAACUUAACUUGAAACGAAAGUGAAACUUAAUUUGUGGUGUGUUGGCUCACUCACUUAAUUUGUGGUGUGUUGGCUCACUCUAGUGGUAUGCCAGCAGUAGUACGGCCUGUCUACCCUUAUUUGGAUUUUUUUUUUGUAGCCGUAUAAAUGGCAAACUACACUCAUUGGCAGCGGCAUAGGCACACUUAAAAUUUCUUCAGAAAUUUUCGCUUUCUAGUUAUUAUUGUUAUUAUUAUUCUUUUCUUUAAUUCAAUUCUUUUAUUCAAUUGUAGUUACUCUAACAACUGUUGCUGAAACGCGGGUGAAUAGUUCCUCGGUUUAGGGUGGACCUGUUCCAAGAAGAGGGCGGAAGUAUUUUUGGGGUCAAGGGAUGCCUGUAUGUUCUUACACAGGCUGGGGUGUGGGAAGGGUUGUUCUCUCAAAUCGGUAAAUUCUCAACAUGGUACAAUGCUUUUUGUUUUUGUUUUUUUUUGUUUUUUUUAAUAUAUGUAUUUAUUUACUAGUACAGCUUUAACAUAAGUGAAUAUAUAUAGCAGAAGUCUUGAUUGACUUUGUUUCUUGGAACUGUAGAGGUCUGCGUAAGUUAGCAAAAAUAAAACAAGUCAUUAGUAGGACUAAGAAAUUAAAAGCCAAAAUUGUGUUUCUACAAGAAACUCAUAUGCUAGGCAGUGAGACAAAUAGAAUGAAACAUAGAUGGCCAGGUCAAAUCUUUUCAGCGCCUUACUCCUCCAAUUCCAGGGGCAUUAUGAUAAUGAUUCACAAAUCUAUACCCUUUCAUGUUGAGCAUGUGCUUAAGGAUUCUAAUGGGCGUUUAUUAAUACUACAAGGUAACUUACUAUCUACCAGACUAAAUUUAAUUAAUAUUUAUGGCCCAAACACCAUUAUGGGGCGAUCGUGGCUCAAGAGUUCGCAGUUUGC
Long non-coding RNA from Astatotilapia calliptera (eastern happy), 1432 nucleotides. Lineage: Eukaryota; Metazoa; Chordata; Actinopteri; Cichliformes; Cichlidae. The record is from Ensembl.